GUCUGAUCCCGGGGGUGUCACCUCCCCCUGGCCCUGAUCCUGGGGGGAUGAAUCCCUUUGGGGUGUGAUCCCGGGGCUGUCACCUCCCCCUGGCCCAAAUCCUGGGGGGAUGAAUCCCUUUGGGGUCUGAUCCCGGGGGUGUCACCUCCCCCUGGCCCCGAUCCCGGGGGGAUGAAUCCCUUUGGGGUCUGAUCCCGGGGGUGUCACCUCCCCCUGGCCCAAAUCCCAGGGGUGUCACCUCCCCCUGGGACCCCGGAGCCACCGGCCCCGCGCCCCCGGCUCCGAUCCCGAUGUCCCCGGGGGUGACAGACGCUGCCAGAGCUGCCCCAGGCGCCCCUCGGGGUCCCUCAGUGUCCCCAGGGGUCCCUCGAGGCGCCCCCGGGGUGUCCCCACGGGCUGGGGGGGGACGCGGUGGCUCCGGAGCGGACGGCGGAGCGAAGGCGGCCAGGGCGGGUGAGUGUCCCCACGCUGUCCCCACGCUGUCCCCACCCUGUCCCCACCCUGUCCCCACCCUGUCCCCCUCCCUGCCACCCCUCCCUGUCCCCGCUGUCACCCACGGGGGCACCGGGGUCACCAACGGCACCCGUGUCCCCCUGGGACGGCGUGGGGUCCUGGGGGUGACAGGGGUGGCACUGCGGGGUUGGGGGGGGGUCCCUGAUGUCCCCUCUGUCCCCGGGGGUGGCACUGGAUGGGGGGGGGGGUCUCGGUGUCCCCUGGGGGUGUCGAGGACAACCCAAAGCAAGAAAAUGAGCCGCGAGCAAAGUCUCGAUUUGCACUUCAGCCUUCCCGACCUUAUCCUGCCCCUUCCCCAUUUCCUUCCCCUCCCCAUUUCCUUCCCCUCCCCAUUUCCUUCCCCUCCCCUCCCUUCCCUUCCCUUCCCUUCCCUUCCCUUCCCUUCCCUUCCCUUCCCUUCCCUUCCCUCCCCUCCCCUCCCCUCCCCUCCCUAUUUUUUCGUGCUUUUUUACCAAUUCCCCCUUUUUUUCCCUGAAUUUCCCCCAUUCCCGCUCCUCUCGUGCAAUUCCCAAGCGCCGCCUCCCCCAGUUCCGGGGGGGACCCCCCCCAAACCCCC
Molecule: long non-coding RNA, 1069 nt
Filed under: Lonchura striata (white-rumped munia)
Lineage: Eukaryota; Metazoa; Chordata; Aves; Passeriformes; Estrildidae
Description: domestica (Bengalese finch) lncRNA (ENSLSDG00000011806.1)
Source: RNAcentral